RNAcentral lists this ribosomal RNA (365 nucleotides) under uncultured soil bacterium. RNAcentral's name for it is "bacterial SSU rRNA". It matches the Rfam family "Bacterial small subunit ribosomal RNA", at positions 26 to 386 of the family's 1533-position model. The record is from RNAcentral.
AGGACAAACGCUGGCGGCGUGCAUAAAACAUGCAAGUCGAACGGACUUCAGUCCGCAAGGACUGAAGUGAGUGGCGAACGGCUGAGUAACACGUAGGUGACCUGCCCCGAAGUUUGGGAUAACACCUCGAAAGAGGUGCUAAUACCGGAUGUGACCACCGAUUCAUUUCGGUGCUUAAAGUCGACAAGACGCUUUGGGAGGGCCUGCGGCGGAUUAGCUAGUGGUGUGGUAACGGCACACCAAGGCUUCGAUCCGUAGCUGGUCUGAGAGGAUGGCCAGCCAGACUGGGACUGAGACACGGCCCAGACUCCGUACGGGAGGCAAGCGUACGGUUAGGAUUUUGGCGACAAUGGAGGAAACUCGUA